Molecule: long non-coding RNA, 3033 nt
Filed under: Podarcis lilfordi (Lilford's wall lizard)
Lineage: Eukaryota; Metazoa; Chordata; Lepidosauria; Squamata; Lacertidae
Source: RNAcentral
UUGACUCUCUUUGGGCGGGGGUCUAUAGGAGCAGUGCUGCUAAUUCUCUAAAUAUUGUAGUGACACUGUUUUUGUCCUGCAGAUUACAGGGUGUGCUAGCCCUGGAAAAACGGUAACAAUUGUGGUCCGUGGCUCCAACAAACUAGUAAUUGAAGAAGCUGAACGUUCAAUUCACGAUGCUUUGUGUGUCAUACGCUGUUUGGUAAAGAAAAGGUAAUGUAUAAGACUUACAGACCAGUAAAGUCACCAUUCAACUUUACCAAUGCCUUUUGUUAACAUUUUCAAACUGCCAAAUUCUAAUUUCAGAGCCCUGAUUGCAGGUGGUGGAGCACCAGAAAUAGAGUUGGCCUUACGCUUGGAUGAAUAUUCUCGCACCUUGAGUGGCAUGGAGUCUUAUUGUGUACGUGCUUAUGGAGAGGCCUUGGAAAUAAUUCCAUCCACCCUGGCUGAAAAUGCAGGCCUUAAUCCUAUUUCUACUGUGACUGAGUUGAGAAACAGACAUGCACAAGGAGAGAGAACUGCAGGAAUUAAUGUCAGAAAGGUAAUGGGCAAAGUGGUGAGACAAAAGAAAUACAUAUUAUUGUAUAUUAUUCCAUAGAAUUUUUUUUUUAUAUUGGAGUUUAUUAUGUAGUUUAUUGUAUGCUGCUCACUGCAUUAUGCAUAACUCAAAGGAACAGUCAAAAUAUCAUGUAUUUGUUUUCUUUAUUUCUGGUGUUCCGCCUGUGAGUGUAAUUUUACACGUAGCCAAAAUGGUAUCAUCUGUGCAUAACAGAGAGAUAUCAAAAGGUUUUGUGGAUCGCUGAUGUACAGGAUAUAUUUAAAUGCAAAAAAAUGGGGGGGGGGGCUCCCUAGAAACAGCCUGAUUAAGAUUGAACUUGAUUAGUGACCACAAAAUGCUGACUGGUGGUUGGGGUGGUUUGGCUGGUUGAAUAGAAAACGAGGUCUGAAGUAGCUGGACUCAUGAACAGCAGUUGCCUGCACUGCAACAUUUUGUUGCAGUGGCUGGGGCAACCCAGUCAGGUGUGCAGAAUACUACUACUAAGUGUAAUUUCAAUAAUAAUUGGCAGCCUCUGCAAAUGAAUACAAUAGAGGAAUCUCUUGGGUUGCAUUCUAGUUACAUGGUAUUGAUUCAUCAAAAACCAGACACGAACUGUUGACCCCAGUUAAUAUAUUCAGUUUCAUAAAAACAGCAUUGACAUAAAAUUCACUUGCAUUCUCAAGCCUAUUUUGCUGUUCAGCUGUGACAGUUGCUAAAUGUAUUUUUAUUUUGUUUAUUUCUGAGUUUAAUAUUUUUAAAAAUUCUAAGUGGUGUACAAUCAAUACAAAUUAACAUAAAAUGGCAAAAUGGUGUCAUAAAAACCAAUCUAGUGAUACAGGGUCCAGUUGGAACUUAAACAUAGACUCAGAUGGAUUCAUUCAACACGGAUCUUGCUCCAGUUGAUUCCAAAAUAUAAAACUUUAUCUUAAAUGCAAGAGCUGCUCAUUGGAACUUCGCUUUACUUAUGUUUGAAAAAUGUCAAGUGUGGUUUUUGAAGCUUGAUAGUGGAAUGUACCUAGAGAUAAUUGAUUGUUGGGGCUUACUGAUCCAAGGAACCAAGAAUUAAAUAUUUGGCUCUGUCUGUAGAUCCAUCAAAAGUGACCUUUUAUUGCCCAGAGUUAAGCAAUAAAAAGUGGCUUGCUUUUAUUUUCCUGUUGUGAAAUUUACCGUAUUUUUUGCUCUAUAAGACUCAUUUUUUUCCUCCUAAAAAGUAAGGGGAAAUGUGUGUGCGUCUUACGGAGCGAAUGCAGGCUGUGCAGCUAUCACAGAAUCCAGAACAGCAAGAGGGAUUGCUGCUUUCACUGCGCAGAAAGCAGAGAUUCAGAAUAUUUUUUUUCUUGUUUUCCUCCUCCAAAAACUAGGUGCGUCUUGUGGUUUGGUGCAUCUUAUAGAGCGAAAAAUACUGUAAUCUUUGAUGGAAACCUACUAUGAAACAACUGAGAAGUCUUUUUUUAUUAUUAAUAUGACAUUUUACUGGUGUUAGAAAAAAAAAUAUAUAUAUAUAUAUAUAUAUAUAUAUCUUGAUUGCACAGCUUAUUGCGGUUUUAUUAAAAAUGGUAAAGAUUAACAUAGUCAGCACUAUAAAAUAUUUGAUUAUUUUAAGGCUACUUCAACUAGAAUUAGUAUAAUUAAAUAUAUUCCUUGGCUGCAUGCCAUCAGUGCCUCAUAUACUUACUGCACAAGAAUAUUUGUUCUUUCCUACAAGCUGAGAUCAUGUACAGCAUGCUCAAAAACACUUGUAAACUUGGAUGUGAAUAUGGUUAAGUGAGUUGAUUGGCCACCUGAUGAGGCAGGAGUGCAUUUCUCCAGAAUGAAAAUGUUGGGAUACCUAAUUUCAUGUAAUUUAUGCUGGUAAUUUGUUUUAUAAACUGAGGUUUCUUAAUUUGUAGGGUGGAAUUUCCAAUAUCCUGGAAGAAUUGGUGGUCCAGCCUCUGUUGGUUUCCAUCAGUGCUCUGACCCUGGCGACAGAAACAGUCCGCAGUAUUCUUAAGAUUGAUGAUGUGGUAAGUUACACUUAAAGGCUAACAUUCUUGGAAAUGGAUAUUUCAUAGCAGUUAGCAAAUGUUAAAUGACAAUUCCUAUUAGAUCACAAUGUGAAUCUGCAAGUCAACAUGCUGCAUUUGUAACUAAAUGAUGAAAGUUGCUGUUCAAAUUUAAAGAGACAAAUAACUUAGUGAAAGUGUAGAUUAAUGCUGGAUGCAAACAAUGAUACAAAAGAAUGUUGGUGAUGCAGAGACAUUUGAAGGUAAUUGUUAAAAGUAUCAUCCCAUACCAUUCUGUUUCUCUUUGCAGGUGAAUACUCGAUGAGAUGACUAAAGAAACAAACUGUGCAGCUCAGCACAGUGUCGCAAGUUUGGAAUGCAGUUCCUUCAUUGGACGUUGCAUAACUCCCAGUUACAUUUCAUGUAUACUUGUCAACUUAAAUUAAUAAAACCUUAAAUUCUCAAGGCAUAUCUUGUUUACAUUGUCUUUAUAGCUAAACAAAGCGCACCCCC